RNAcentral lists this transfer RNA (66 nucleotides) under Lamprolepis smaragdina. Its description in RNAcentral is "partial tRNA-Tyr". Lineage: Eukaryota; Metazoa; Chordata; Lepidosauria; Squamata; Scincidae. The record is from RNAcentral.
UUUGAUAAGGGCGGGGUUAAUACCCACCUAAACAGGGCUACAACCUGCCGCCUACCUCGGCCACCU